GUGGGGAAUCUUAGACAAUGGGGGAAACCCUGAUCUAGCCAUGCCGCGUGAGCGAUGAAGGCCUUAGGGUUGUAAAGCUCUUUCAGCUGGGAAGAUAAUGACGGUACCAGCAGAAGAAGCCCCGGCUAACUCCGUGCCAGCAGCCGCGGUAAUACGGAGGGGGCUAGCGUUGUUCGGAAUUACUGGGCGUAAAGCGCGCGUAGGCGGACCAGAAAGUUGGAGGUGAAAUCCCAGGGCUCAACCUUGGAACUGCCUUCAAAACUCCUGGUCUGGAGUUCGAGAGAGGUGAGUGGAAUUCCGAGUGUAGAGGUGAAAUUCGUAGAUAUUCGGAAGAACACCAGUGGCGAAGGCGACUCACUGGCCCAAUACUGACGCUGAGGCGCGAAAGCGUGGGGAGCAAACAGGAUUAGAUACCCUAGUAGUCC
This 425-nucleotide ribosomal RNA is filed under the name uncultured bacterium. RNAcentral's name for it is "partial 16S ribosomal RNA". It matches the Rfam family "Bacterial small subunit ribosomal RNA", at positions 354 to 796 of the family's 1533-position model. The record is from RNAcentral.